GACGAACGCUGGCGGCGUGCUUAACACAUGCAAGUCGAACGUGAUUUUUGUGGAAAUUCUUUCGGGAAUGGAAAUGAAAUGAAAGUGGCGAACGGGUGAGUAACACGUGAGCAACCUACCUUACACAGGGGGAUAGCCGUUGGAAACGACGAUUAAUACCGCAUGAGACCACAGAAUCGCAUGAUAUAGGGGUCAAAGAUUUAUCGGUGUAAGAAGGGCUCGCGUCUGAUUAGCUAGUUGGAAGGGUAAAGGCCUACCAAGGCAACGAUCAGUAGCCGGUCUGAGAGGAUGAACGGCCACAUUGGAACUGAGACACGGUCCAAACUCCUACGGGAGGCAGCAGUGGGGAAUAUUGCACAAUGGGGGGAACCCUGAUGCAGCGACGCCGCGUGAGCGAAGAAGGUUUUCGAAUCGUAAAGCUCUGUCCUAUGAGAAGAUAAUGACGGUAUCAUAGGAGGAAGCCCCGGCUAAAUACGUG
RNAcentral lists this ribosomal RNA (478 nucleotides) under uncultured bacterium. RNAcentral describes it as "partial 16S ribosomal RNA". It matches the Rfam family "Bacterial small subunit ribosomal RNA", at positions 28 to 507 of the family's 1533-position model. The record is from RNAcentral.